Molecule: ribosomal RNA, 253 nt
Filed under: uncultured bacterium
Lineage: Bacteria
Description: partial 16S ribosomal RNA
Rfam family: Bacterial small subunit ribosomal RNA
Source: RNAcentral
GACAGAGGGUGCAAACGUUGUUCGGAUUUACUGGGCGUAAAGCGUGUGUAGGCGGCUUUGCAUGUCGGAUGUGAAAGCCCACGGCUCAACCGUGGAAGUGCAUCCGAAACUGCAUCGCUGGAGUCCCGGAGAGGAAGGUGGAAUGCUUGGUGUAGAGGUGAAAUUCGUAGAUAUCAAGCAGAACACCUGCGGCGAAGGCGGCCUUCUGGACGGUGACUGACGCUGAGACACGAAAGCGUGGGGAGCAAACAGG